RNAcentral lists this ribosomal RNA (251 nucleotides) under uncultured prokaryote. RNAcentral's name for it is "partial 16S rRNA". It matches the Rfam family "Bacterial small subunit ribosomal RNA", at positions 525 to 775 of the family's 1533-position model. The record is from RNAcentral.
ACGGAGGAUGCGAGCGUUAUCCGGAUUUACUGGGUUUAAAGGGCGCGUAGGCGGAUAGAUAAGUCAGAGGUGAAAACCUGCAGCUCAACCGGAGACUUGCCGUUGAUACUGUCAGUCUUGAGUAUGGUCAAGGUAGGCGGAAUUUGUGAUGUAGGGGUGAAAUGCGUAGAUAUUACGCAGAACACCGAUUGCGAAGGCAGCUUGCUGGGCCAUUACUGACGCUGAUGCGCGAAAGCGUGGGGAUCGAACAG